AAAGUACUCCCUCCAUCCCAAAAUUCUUGUCUUAGACUUGUCUAGAUACGGAUGUAUCAAAGAUUUGUCUAGAUACGGAUGUAUCAAGUCACAUUUUAGUAUUAGAUACAUCCGUAUCUAGACAAAUCUAAGACAAGAAAUUUGGGACAGAGGGAGUAGUCG
Molecule: non-coding RNA, 162 nt
Organism: Triticum aestivum (bread wheat)
Lineage: Eukaryota; Viridiplantae; Streptophyta; Magnoliopsida; Poales; Poaceae
Source: Rfam